RNAcentral lists this transfer RNA (76 nucleotides) under Chloroflexota bacterium. Its description in RNAcentral is "tRNA-Lys". It matches the Rfam family "tRNA". Rfam says of the family: Transfer RNA (tRNA) molecules are approximately 80 nucleotides in length. Their secondary structure includes four short double-helical elements and three loops (D, anti-codon, and T loops). Further hydrogen bonds mediate the characteristic L-shaped molecular structure. tRNAs have two regions of fundamental functional importance: the anti-codon, which is responsible for specific mRNA codon recognition, and the 3' end, to which the tRNAs corresponding amino acid is attached (by aminoacyl-tRNA synthetases). tRNAs cope with the degeneracy of the genetic code in two manners: having more than one tRNA (with a specific anti-codon) for a particular amino acid; and 'wobble' base-pairing, i.e. permitting non-standard base-pairing at the 3rd anti-codon position. The record is from RNAcentral. RNAcentral also lists the same sequence under 1 other name. Lineage: Bacteria; Bacillati; Chloroflexota.
GGGCCGCUAGCUCAACUGGCAGAGCAGCUGACUCUUAAUCAGCAGGUUCAGCGUUCGAUUCGCUGGCGGCUCACCA